GACGAACGCUGGCGGUGUGCUUAACACAUGCAAGUGGUGCGACGAACCAGAGCUUGCUCUGGGGCAAAGCCGCGAACGGGUGAGUAACACGUGGGUAAUCUACCCCGAUGACCGGGACAACCCGAGGAAACUCGGGCUAAUACCGGAUGUGGUGCGGAGACAUAAGUCUCUUCACUAAAGGUAGCUUCGGCUUCCGCAUUGGGAGGGGCCCGCGGCCCAUUAGCUUGUUGGUGGGGUCAAGGCCUACCAAGGCAACGAUGGGUAGCUGGUCUGAGAGGACGAUCAGCCACACUGGGACUGAGACACGGCCCCGACUCCUACGGGAGGCAGCAGUGGGGAAUCUUGCGCAAUGCGCGAAAGCGUGACGCAGCAACACCGCGUGAGGGAAGAAGGCCUUAGGGUUGUAAACCUCUUUCAGAUGGGACGAAGGUUCUCCGGUGAAUAGCCGAGAGGAUUGACGGUACCGUCAGAAGAAGCUCCGGCUAACUACGUG
Molecule: ribosomal RNA, 493 nt
Filed under: uncultured bacterium
Lineage: Bacteria
Description: partial 16S ribosomal RNA
Rfam family: Bacterial small subunit ribosomal RNA
Source: RNAcentral